This 288-nucleotide long non-coding RNA is filed under the name Cottoperca gobio. Its description in RNAcentral is "lncRNA (ENSCGOG00000003702.1)". The record is from RNAcentral. Lineage: Eukaryota; Metazoa; Chordata; Actinopteri; Perciformes; Bovichtidae.
ACGACAGCGACGCCUCAGAUCAAACUGCCAGGCUGUGUUUUAAUCCUCAGUCUACCUUUUUUUUGGUUAGAGCUGACAACACAAGUCCAGAGAGAGAGAGGAGGAUGGCAAGGCGACUGUACCACCUGCUGAAUAAAUCAACGUGGUUUGACAUUACACCCUGAGAGACAAAGCGCUGUGAUCUCCAGUUCUGUACCGUGUGGGUAUGUAAGAGUUUUAUCUCUGUCUUUGACUUUGCUAGCAGUACUUGUGAAUGCACAUUGAAGUCACUUAUCAAGAAACAAUGCC